Molecule: ribosomal RNA, 253 nt
Filed under: uncultured bacterium
Lineage: Bacteria
Description: partial 16S ribosomal RNA
Rfam family: Bacterial small subunit ribosomal RNA
Source: RNAcentral
UACGUAGGGUGCAGGCGUUAAUCGGAAUUACUGGGCGUAAAGCGUGCGCAGGCGGCUUCCUAAGUCAGAUGUGAAAUCCCCGGGCUCAACCUGGGAACUGCGUUUGAAACUGGGAGGCUGGAGUGCGGCAGAGGGGGGUGGAAUUCCACGUGUAGCAGUGAAAUGCGUAGAUAUGUGGAGGAACACCGAUGGCGAAGGCAGCCCCCUGGGCCAGCACUGACGCUCAUGCACGAAAGCGUGGGGAGCAAACAGG